GAUGAAGAACGUAGCGAAAUGCGAUACGUAAUGUGAAUUGCAGAAUUCAGUGAAUCAUCGAAUCUUUGAACGCACAUUGCGCCCGCCAGUAUUCUGGCGGGCAUGCCUGUUCGAGCGUCAUUUCAACCAUCAAGCCCCAGGCUUGUGUUGGAGCCCUGCGGCUGCCGCAGCCUCCCAAAACCAGUGGCGGGCUCGCUAUCACACCGAGUGCAGUAGUUUACUCUUCGCUCAGGGCGUGUGGCGGGUGCUAGCCGUAAAACCCCCAACUUCUCAAGGUUGACCUCGGAUCAGGUAGGAAUACCCGCUGAACUUAAGCAUAUCAAUAAGCGGAGGA
This 334-nucleotide unclassified non-coding RNA is filed under the name soil metagenome. Its description in RNAcentral is "partial contains 5.8S ribosomal RNA, internal transcribed spacer 2, and large subunit ribosomal RNA". The stretch from base 1 to 120 matches the Rfam family "5.8S ribosomal RNA", at positions 35 to 154 of the family's 154-position model. The record is from RNAcentral.